GAUGAACGCUGGCGGCGUGCCUAAUACAUGCAAGUCGAGCGAACAGACGAGGAGCUUGCUCCUCUGAUGUUAGCGGCGGACGGGUGAGUAACACGUGGAUAACCUACCUAUAAGACUGGGAUAACUUCGGGAAACCGGAGCUAAUACCGGAUAACAUGUUGAACCGCAUGGUUCAACAGUGAAAGACGGUCUUGCUGUCACUUAUAGAUGGAUCCGCGCCGCAUUAGCUAGUUGGUAAGGUAACGGCUUACCAAGGCAACGAUGCGUAGCCGACCUGAGAGGGUGAUCGGCCACACUGGAACUGAGACACGGUCCAGACUCCUACGGGAGGCAGCAGUAGGGAAUCUUCCGCAAUGGGCGAAAGCCUGACGGAGCAACGCCGCGUGAGUGAAGAAGGUCUUCGGAUCGUAAAACUCUGUUAUUAGGGAAGAACAAAUGUGUAAGUAACUAUGCACGUAUUGACGGUACCUAAUCAGAAAGCCACGGCUAACUACGUG
This 497-nucleotide ribosomal RNA is filed under the name uncultured bacterium. RNAcentral describes it as "partial 16S ribosomal RNA". It matches the Rfam family "Bacterial small subunit ribosomal RNA", at positions 28 to 507 of the family's 1533-position model. The record is from RNAcentral.